Molecule: ribosomal RNA, 3487 nt
Filed under: Axinella corrugata
Lineage: Eukaryota; Metazoa; Porifera; Demospongiae; Axinellida; Axinellidae
Description: large subunit ribosomal RNA
Rfam family: Bacterial large subunit ribosomal RNA
Source: RNAcentral
UUAGUAUAAAGGAGUAGCGAACGGAUGGCUAGGAUGUUACAAGUAAGGACGCUAUUAUGCGAAAGUCGGUGAAAUCCAGAUGAAGCCGAUAAGGGGGUGUAAACCCUAACAUGUAUUAUCUGAAGACCCUAAGAAUUGAAACAUCUUAGUAUUAGGAGAAAAAAAAAUCAAGCGAGAUUCCGUCAGUAGCGGCGAGCGAACGCGGAGGGACCAUUAAGCCUCUGUUUGUUCGAAAUCCAAAGAGGGUGGCAGCCCCGUAGAAUUUUCAGGGGAGUUCCCCACGGCCGAGGGCCGUGGGGCAAGGCUCAUAAGUAGAAUUAUUUGAAGAAAGGUGUUCCAUACAUCUAAGCCUUAAUAAUGUAAUAUACCAAUAGUUGACAAGUACUGUGAAGGAAAGUUGAAAGAGAUAGUAGUGAAAUAGAUCCUGAAAUUCGCUAUUCACAAGCAGACGGAUCGUCGUACCUUUUGCAUAAUGGGUUCGCAAGAUUAAUAUUUGGCAAACUUAAGUUAAUAAUGUAAGUGUAGUGAAGACGAGUUUUCAUUCUUAAUCCUCCGGGAUCCGCCCACGGCGGAUUUCAAGGGCGCACAGACAUCAUGGGCCGGGGCCGUCCGCCGAAGGCGGAUCCGCCGAAUCCCCGGGGGAUGAUGUCUGUGCGGGAAGUUAUUUGAAAACAGAGCAUUAGUCAAAUAGAACCCGAAACCAAGUGAUCUAGCCAUGGGCAGUUUAAAGCGAGGGGAAUACCUUUGUGGAGGAACGCACCGGUGAUUGUGGCAAAAAUCUCGGAUGACCUGUGGUUGGGGGUGAAAUGCUAAUCGAACUUGGAAAUAGCUGGUUUUCUGCGAAAACUAUUGAAGUAGUGCGUCAUACAUGUUAUGUUUGUAUUAUUCUUAUAUGGUAAAGCACUGAAUGGGUACAUCUAUAAGAAGUAUCUAAUGAAACUAUGAAAGUGUAAGAAGAAAGUAUGAUAGACAGACAGUGGGCGAGAAGGUCCAUUGUCAAAAAGGAAACAACCUAGAUCCGAAGUUAAGGUCAUGAAAUAUCGAUUUAUCUAAGUGUAAAAGGGGAUUGAAGAUUUAGAUAAUGAGAAAGUAGGCUUGGAACCAGCCAUCUUUGAAAGAUUACGUAACAGUUCACUCAAUAAAUUAAUAAACCCCUAAAAUUAUGGUGGCUUAAGUUGGAGCGAAGCUCCGAACCGAAACUCUGAAUAAAAUGAUGAUACGUGGAAUAAAUAAGUUUAAUUCCCCCCGGAUCCUUGAUCCCCGCCAAAGGCGGCCAUCCCAUCCCCUCGGGGAUGGGAUGGGGGGAUGGGACCUUACCCUAUUCCAUCAAUAUGGUAGCAGAGCGUGCUGUAUAUUCUGAUUCCCUAAUUGAAGGGCGGCGGAAUGCGAAAGCGUAUAUCAGAAGUGAUAAUGCGAACAUGAGUAAAAAACAAUGUGAAAAUCAUUGCUCACGGCCCAAGGUUUCCAAUAAUAGGAUUAUCCGAAUUGGGUUACACAGCCCCUAAGACCUAAAAUCCUUCGGCGAGUGGACAAAACUUAAAGGAAUGCCAAAUGGGCCUUACCCAUCCGCGUCCGAUCGAAGAUCCCCGCCAAAGGCGGCGAUCGAAGAUCCCCCCGGAUCAAGGAUCCGGGGGGAUUAAGAGUCACUCAUUAUUGUUGUCGAUGGGGUGUAAUAAUAAGCACUUGGGUGUCAAAAGAAAUUAUUUUUAAUUCGGAACUUAGCCUUUGGCGAUGUUUUGAUUUCGCACGGGGGAUCAUCCCCGAGGGAUGAUUCUUCGAGCGGAAUUCUUUGGCUGUACUAAAACUAACACAAGUGGGCAGAAAGUGAUGGGAUAAUUUAUCUUAAGGAACUCGGCAAAAUGUCCCCGUAAGUUCGCAAGAAGGGGAGCCGGUAAGAGACAGAAGUGAUAAGCAUUAAGCUUUUAACCCUCCGGUCGCCCCGAAGGGGCAUCCCCCCGGAUCAAGGAUCCGGGGGGAUUAAGGUUAAUCGGUAACCGAAAGUUAUCGAUCUUUCACUUAAUUUACUGGUCUCAGAAAAGAGGGGGUAUCGACUGUUUACCAAAAACAUAGCUUCCAGCGAAGGGCCGGGGGCCCGAAGUAUUGGAGGUGAGACCUGCCCAAUGAUUGUAUCUAAAAUCAAGUAAUAAAAUAAGUUACUGGAGUAAGGACAAUUAAAUGGCCGCGGUAAAUCUGACCGUGAUAAUGUAGCGCAAUCAAUAGCCAAUUAAUUGUUGGCAAGUAUGAAUGGUGUAACGAAUGCCCUACUGUCUCAAGAUAAAACCCAAUGAAAUUGAAAUCGUAGUGAAGAUGCUACGUACAAAUUGUAAGACGAGAAGACCCCAUUGAGCUUUACUGGAAACUUAUAUUGUACUUUUUAAAUUAUUGUGUAGAUUAUGUGGGCAGAUCGACCGAUANCCGAACAUCACAGUAUGCCCCGGACCUAAAGGAUUCGGAGGAUUCUCUUACCCAUCCGCCGCCCGAUCGAAGAUCGGGCGGCGGAUGGGGCGGAUUACCCCGGAUCAAGGAUCCGGGGGGAUCCGCCCCCGCCGAAGGCUGGGGCGGAUUUAUUUACUGGAGGUGUUGAUCAAUCAUAACCGAGAGCGGGAGUUGAUAUCGUCCUUCGGGAAAUGAAAAACCACUCUUUAAUUAUUUAAAGUUAUUAACACUUGUGCGUGGAGUGGAAAGGUUUAAGUUAGACAGUUUGGUUGGGGCGACCUCCUUCUAAAAAGUAACGAAGGAGUACAUAAGGUUAAAUUUGAAUAAACAACAACAAGCCUGACAGCAAGGGGGACAUCCGAGCUGACACUGGAUGGCAUGCCCACGGCCCCCCCCACCAUUAGGUGGGGGCGGCCGUGGGCGGGGGGAUCCCCCUUUUGUUUCCGGUGGGUUAUAUGACCCGUUAGUAAAGAGUGGAAUUGCUAACGAGUAACGAAUAAAAGUUACCAUGGGGAUAACAGCGUAAUAUCGUUCGAGAGCUCAUAUCGACGACGAUGUUUGCGACCUCGAUGUUGAAUUGCGGUAUCCUGGGGGUGCAGCCGCUCCCAAGGGUUGGACUGUUCGUCCAUUAAAACCGUCCAUGAUUUGAGUUCAGACCGGCGUGAGCCAGGUCGGUUUCUAUCUACAAUUUGAACAGGAAACAUUAGAUCGACCCUUCCUGAAGGGGUCCGCCGCCGCCGCCGCCUUUGGCGGGUCGGCCUUUUAGGCCGUUUGGCGGGGGGGAUCCGGGGGGGGAUCGGGGGUCUGCCCCUUUCUGAUUUUGAGAUAUAACUACAUUCUAGUACGAAAGGAUCGAAUGACUAGUUAUCCGCUGGUGAACCAAUUUUGAAAGGCAAUGUUGGGUAGCUACGAUAAGAUAAUAAUCCCUGAAAGCAUCUAAAGGGAGAAGUACGGUAUUAUUCUCUGUUUCUAUAGACCGUUUAAGAAUAAAACGUGGAUAGGACCUUGAGUGUUUCAGGAGCUAGGGUUACUAAAGUUCUUUAUACUAAGA